This is a long non-coding RNA of Patella vulgata (common limpet), 1005 nucleotides long. RefSeq lists it as uncharacterized. Lineage: Eukaryota; Metazoa; Mollusca; Gastropoda; Patellidae. The transcript has 4 exons. The record is from RefSeq and is a predicted model, not a curated record.
UGUCAACUUCAUCAUUGUCGUGACUUUACUUUACUACGUUCUAAUGUUAAAAUAUGGACGUCAAACAGCAGCAUAUGUACAUACGUUGCCUUGUAUUGGGUGGAGUAACCGGUUUCACUACAGUUUCAGGAACUAUUAAUUCAUAUUUUUCUGGUAAAACAGUAGCGUAUCGACAAAUAGAAAUGUUUACCAUCUUAAUUUUGUUGAUGAUUGGUAUUGCAUAUGCAUACAAAACUAAAGAAUGUGGAAUCUCCUGUGGACUUGGUUGCAUACAUCAAGUAUAUGAAAAUGGCUGUUAUGGAUGUUAUUGUGGUAUAUUGGGAAUCAUAAAAACUUGUCCCGAUUUUGUGGCCUGCGGAGUUGGAUGCAAGGAUUACCUAUAUCCUAAUGGAUGUCGAUUGUGUUCUUGUAAAAGUUACAAGUGAACUCAAGAUACAGAAAAAUAAGAAUGACAAUUAAAUACAAAAGAGUAUUACAUGUAUUGAACUACGUAACCAUUCGUAUUCCGGGUGCUGCAGUAAUUCUACAAAUCGACGGAGAAAACGAAUCUGAUUUAAAUACAGAUCUAUAUUUUUACAACCAGUUGUAGUGGGAGGUCGCGAUAGAGGUGAUACGAGUGAAUUUUGAUCUAAUGACGUCGCACAUUUUUUUUUAACCAAUCAGCUUUGAUGUUUCUAGUGGGUUACCCACAGUUCCGCGCAACUCACGCCAAAAACUCACCGUAACAGGCCGUUUCAUUGGCUAACCCCUCACAUCAUCCAGAAUACGGGUUAUAUAACAACUCUUCCAGAUCCUUGUGCAGUAAAGGCAAGUAAAACCAAAUUUUGAACUAUAAAAAUCGAAAAGAAAUAGGAUCAGUGUUUUAAUCAGAUUGUGGAGAACACUAAUUGGAGACCACGCAUUCAUUGCCAAAAGAAGAAAUCUGAUCACAUAAUUGUCAACAAUACGUCCAGUCAUAAUAUAUACAUAUAUAUAUUUUUUUAGAAAAUAAAAUAAACAAAGUUG